This is a long non-coding RNA of Oncorhynchus nerka (sockeye salmon), 3259 nucleotides long. RefSeq lists it as uncharacterized. The record is from RefSeq and is a predicted model, not a curated record. NCBI's taxonomy places the organism in Eukaryota, Metazoa, Chordata, Actinopteri, Salmoniformes, Salmonidae. The transcript has 2 exons.
ACUCCUCGCCAACUCCAUUCUCCGGUAUCCCUUCUCGCACUGUUCCAUUGACUCCCAGGCGGGCUCUGGCACUCUCCCUGGGUCAACCGACCACCUCUCUACCUCCUCCCAUGUUGUCACUGGUUCACACCUAGACUCCGCCGACCCCCCCAAAAAAAAAAACAUUCGGGCAGUUUUUCGGGCUUCCCUUGUGGCCGCGAACCCUGGCGGCGUCGCUGUUCUCCCUUCUCUCCUUGCGUCUGCUGUGACUCCUGCCAAGGAAGGAUCUCUUGUCCUUUCAUUAUUUCCUCCCAGGUCCAACCUAUUUUCCCCAUUGUAGCAUGCUGCUUGGUCCUGGUGUGGUGUGAUAUUCUGUCACGAUCGUUGGAAGCAUAAUCGGACCAAAGUGCAGCGUGAUCUGGUUUUCCACAUCUUUUUUAUUUAAAGUAAGUGAACCACACAAUAAAGAAUAAACUAACUGUGACGACAAUGGAGUGCUAACAUGUAACUACACAAACAAUAUCCCACAAACACAUGUGGAAGAAAUGCCACUUAAAUAUGAUCCCCAAUUAGAGACAACGAUUACCAGCUGCCUCUAAUUGGGAUUCAUACCAAUCACCAACAUAGAAAAACAAAACUAGAACCUCUCAUAGAAAUAAUAAACUAGACUAAGCCCCAGUCACGCCCUGACCUACUCUACCAUAGAAAAUAAGGGCUCUCUAUGGUCAGGACAUGACAAGGUCUCUCAACUCAACAUGUAUUUAAUGAUCACAUGACUACAAGUGAAGAGAAAGCCAGUAUUUUCAAUGCGGCAUUGUAAGCAUAUUUCAGGCAUGAGAACAUUUUGGCUGAGAAUGUGUUUUUUUAAAUGAUGGAUUUACAUUUCCAAUAGCAUUGUGUGGAUUUGAGAAAGAACUAGUCAGUCAGUGAUCCCAAUGAUAAAACUUAGAAGAAAGUAUUUUCAAUGAAUUUAACAUAUUUUUUUAUCCCUGCUUAGAUUGGUUUCUCAUAUAACCGGAGAAGGCUGUUUUGAGACUUCAGUGUGUGUCUGUGUGAAACAGUCUGUCCUUGCCACCCCGUCCCUCAAACUGGUUUAUUAGAGUGAGCAGCAAAGCACCCCGACAACAUGAUGCUGCCACCCCCGUGCUUCACGGUUGGAAUGGUGUUCUUCGGCUUGCAAGCAUCCCCCUUUUUCCUCCAAACAUAACGAUGGCCAUUAUGGCCAAACAGUUCUAUUUUUGUUUCAUCAGAGCAGAGGACAUUGCUCCAAAAAGUAUGAUCUUUGUUCCCAUGUGCAGUUGAAAACCGUAGUCUGACUUUUUUAUGGCGGUUUUGGAGCAGUGGCUUCUUCCUUGCUGAGCGGCCUUUCAGGUUAUGUCGGUAUAUGACUCGUUUUACUGUGGGUAUAGAUACAUUUGUACCUGUUUCCUACAGCAUCGUCACAAGGUCCUUUGCUGUUGUUCUGGGAUUGAUUUGCACUUUUCACACCAAAGUACGUUCAUCUCUAGGAGACAGAACGCGUCUCCUUCCUGAGCGGUAUGACGGCUGCGUGGUCCCAUGGUGUUUCUACGUGCAUACAAUUGUUUGUAGAGAUGAACGUGGUACCUUCAGGCGUUUGGAAAUUGUUCCCAAGGAUGAACCAGACUCUACAAUUUAUUUUCUGAGGUCUUGGCUGAUUUAUUUUGAUUUUCCCAUGAUGUCAAGCAAAGAGGCACUGAGUUUGAAGGUACAUCCACAGAUAUACCUCCAAUUGACUCAAAUUAUGUCAAUUAGCCUAUUCGAAGCAUCUAAAGCCAUGACAUCAUUUUCUGGAAUUUUCCAAUCUGUUUAAAGGCACAGUCACCUUAGUGUAUGUAAACUUCUGACCCACUGGAAUUGUGAUACAGUGAAUUAUAAGUGAAAUAAUUUGUAUGUAAACAAUUGUUGGAAAAAUUACUUGUGUCAUGCACAAAGUAGAUGUCCUAACCGACUUGCCAAAACUAUAGUUUGUUAACAAGAAAUGUGUGGAGUGGUUGAAAAACGAGUUUUAAUGACUCCAACUUAAGUGAAUGUAAACUUCCAACUUCAACUGUAACUACUCAAUGGUCUGGUUACCUGGACACAUUACUGGAGAAUCUCUAUUGCAUUUUAGUCCAGGACUGAGCUUAAUCUGUGCCUGUCAAACUGGCCCAAUAUCAGCUGUUAACAACAUUAUGAGGUUAUGAUCUGUAGGCUUUUCCUCUGUUGUAAAGACAGUUGGGGGGAAAGAGAGAGAGAAGGUUUCUGUCAAACAGGCAGCAAUCUGAGCCAACCACAGUUGACAUGUGCCAGUCAGGGGGCAUGGGAUGAAACAGAGACACAAGUGGCUGAGAUGAGGCCUCCACAGGUACUCAAAUAUCCUCCUGACAUUAACAGGCUGACCAUGAGAAUAUCCCUUCUCUGUUUCCCCGUACACACACACACACACGUAUGUGCACAAACGAGCAUACACACUCAAGAGGAGUGUGUGGAGGAGGGAGCAGACAGACAGUAUAUGACAGCAUACACAACUCAAAAUUACUUUUUGAUUGACAGGCAUGGGCCAAUAGUGGGCAGUUGGCUGGAGUGAGUGUUAUUACCUCUCUCUCUCUCUCUCUCUCAAUUCAAAUUAAGUGCUUUAUUGGCACGGAAAACACAUGUUAACAUUGCCAAAGCAAGUGAAAUAGAUAAUAAACAAAAGUGAAAUAAACAAUACAAAUGAACAGUGAACAUUAGACUCCCAGAAGUUCCAAAAGAAUAAAGACAUUUCAAAUGUCAUAUUAUGUCUAUACACAGUGUUGUAAUGAUGUGCAAAUAGUUCUAAUACAAAAGAGAAAAUAAAUAAACAUAAAUAUAGGCUGAAUUUACAAUGGUGUUUGUUCUUCACUGGUUGCCCUUUUUUUGUGGCACCAGGUCACACAUCUUGCUGCUGUGAUGGCACACUGUGGUAUUUCACCCAGUAGAUAUGGGAGUUUAUCAAAAUCGUGAUUGUUUUUAAAAUCUUUGUGGAUCUGUGUAAUCUGAGGGAAAUAUGUGUCUCUAAUAUGGUCAUAUAUUUGGCAGGAGGUUAGGAAGUGCAGCUCAGUUUCCACUUAAUUUUGUGGGCAGUGUGCACAUACAGUAGCAGGUCUUCUCUUGAGAGCCAGGUCUGCCUACGGCGGCCUUCCUCAAUAGAAAGGCUAUGCUCACUGAGUCUGUACAAAGCUUUCCUUAAGUUUGGGUCAGGUAUUCUGCCACUGUGUACUCUCUGUUUAGGGCCAAAUAAAAUUAUAAUUUGCAAGUU